Molecule: ribosomal RNA, 425 nt
Filed under: uncultured bacterium
Lineage: Bacteria
Description: partial 16S ribosomal RNA
Rfam family: Bacterial small subunit ribosomal RNA
Source: RNAcentral
GUGGGGAAUAUUGGACAAUGGGCGCAAGCCUGAUCCAGCCAUGCCGCGUGAGUGAUGAAGGCCUUAGGGUUGUAAAGCUCUUUUGUCCGGGAAGAUAAUGACUGUACCGGAAGAAUAAGCACCGGCUAACUUCGUGCCAGCAGCCGCGGUAAUACGAAGGGUGCAAGCGUUAUCCGGAUUCAUUGGGUUUAAAGGGUGCGUAGGCGGAGCGUUAAGUCAGUGGUGAAAUCCUGCAGCUUAACUGUAGACUUGCCAUUGAUACUGGCGCUCUUGAGUGCGCUUGAAGUGGGCGGAAUGUGCCGUGUAGCGGUGAAAUGCUUAGAUAUGGCACAGAACACCAAUUGCGAAGGCAGCUCACUAAGGCGAUACUGACGCUGAGGCACGAAAGCGUGGGGAUCGAACAGGAUUAGAAACCCUGGUAGUCC